GCCCUACGGGAGGCAGCAGUGAGGAAUAUUGGUCAAUGGGCGCAAGCCUGAACCAGCCAAGUCGCGUGAGGGAUGACGGUCCUAUGGAUUGUAAACCUCUUUUGUCGGGGAGCAAGGCCCGCCACGUGUGGCGGGAAGGAGAGUACCCGAAGAAAAAGCAUCGGCUAACUCCGUGCCAGCAGCCGCGGUAAUACGGAGGGUGCGAGCGUUAUCCGGAUUUAUUGGGUUUAAAGGGUGCGUAGGGGGAAGGUUAAGUCAGCGGUCCAAUGUCGGUGCUCAACACCCGCCUGCCGUUUGA
RNAcentral lists this ribosomal RNA (298 nucleotides) under uncultured bacterium. RNAcentral describes it as "partial 16S ribosomal RNA". It matches the Rfam family "Bacterial small subunit ribosomal RNA", at positions 335 to 630 of the family's 1533-position model. The record is from RNAcentral.